Molecule: ribosomal RNA, 412 nt
Filed under: uncultured bacterium
Lineage: Bacteria
Description: bacterial SSU rRNA
Rfam family: Bacterial small subunit ribosomal RNA
Source: RNAcentral
AUUGAACGCUGGCGGCAUGCCUUACACAUGCAAGUCGAACGGCAGCGGACCUUCGGGUGCCGGCGAGUGGCGAACGGGUGAGUAAUAUAUCGGAACGUACCUUUCAGUGGGGGAUAACGUAGCGAAAGUUACGCUAAUACCGCAUAUUCUGUGAGCAGGAAAGCAGGGGAUCGCAAGACCUUGCGCUGAUUGAGCGGCCGAUAUCAGAUUAGCUAGUUGGUGAGGUAAAGGCUCACCAAGGCGACGAUCUGUAGCGGGUCUGAGAGGAUGAUCCGCCACACUGGAACUGAGACACGGUCCAGACUCCUACGGGAGGCAGCAGUGGGGAAUUUUGGACAAUGGGCGCAAGCCUGAUCCAGCCAUGCCGCGUGAGUGAAGAAGGCCCUGUGUAAGUACGUACUUCGUCCGGUAC